This 497-nucleotide ribosomal RNA is filed under the name uncultured bacterium. RNAcentral describes it as "partial 16S ribosomal RNA". It matches the Rfam family "Bacterial small subunit ribosomal RNA", at positions 28 to 507 of the family's 1533-position model. The record is from RNAcentral.
GAUGAACGCUGGCGGCGUGCCUAAUACAUGCAAGUCGAGCGAACAGAUGAGGAGCUUGCUCCUCUGACGUUAGCGGCGGACGGGUGAGUAACACGUGGAUAACCUACCUAUAAGACUGGGAUAACUUCGGGAAACCGGAGCUAAUACCGGAUAAUAUAUUGAACCGCAUGGUUCAAUAGUGAAAGACGGUUUUGCUGUCACUUAUAGAUGGAUCCGCGCCGCAUUAGCUAGUUGGUAAGGUAACGGCUUAACAAGGCAACGAUGCGUAGCCGACCUGAGAGGGUGAUCGGCCACACUGGAACUGAGCCACGGUCCAGACUCCUACGGGAGGCAGCAGUAGGGAACCUUCCGCAAUGGGCGAAAGCCUGACGGAGCAACGCCGCGUGAGUGAUGAAGGUCUUCGGAUCGUAAAACUCUGUUAUUAGGGAAGAACAAAUGUGUAAGUAACUAUGCACGUCUUGACGGUACCUAAUCAGAAAGCCACGGCUAACUACGUG